GGGGAGGAAAGGUCCCAGGGUCCCGCGGCAUCGGCCGCCUGGCCCUCUGUGUGCAUAUGAGCGUAUGGAGACCUCAGAGACGCUGUCCUGGUUUGGAACAGCGACCCCCUUCAGCGCUGCCCGCUGCUUUUUGGCCGCCCCACGUGGUGUUGGCACCAAGAGAAAUCCAGCGUGUUCUUAAUGCCUUAUGCUCUCAGCCUUCCCUGAGCGCGUAUGUCCGUCCCGCGUGUACACCCUCCGGGGGAGGGGGGCGGGGGGAGUAAAGAGUUCUGUAUUUGUUGCCUGAGAAAUAAGAUGUAGUUUUGAGUUGGUGCCCUGUAGUCGCUUUAUUUGGCGAUUUUAUCAACAAGUCCAUCUAUCCUUAUCGGUUACCGUUCAUGAGCUUAUUCUGUGAAGGUUAUGAUAGCAUAUCUUGCUUUUUUAUCUUUCCAGGAAAAAAGUUAUCUCAUACAAGAUCUGAUUUAUCCCCUGGUUGUUUUAAUUGGCCUCCUCUGAAUCAUUUCUGCUUCUGUCAGUGCUCCUGUUGGGGACCAGAUUGUUAUCUGUGCUGUGGACUUAGCUCUAAUCAAUAGGACUGUGCGAAUUUGUUUCAAGGGGUGAAGUUUACCUGCAUGCACACGUUAAUCUCCUGUUUACGUACGAGUAAUAUUUGACUUCCGAAGCCUGUGCUGAUUUUUCUCGACCCGGCAGUGAUCGCCCUGCCUGUUUAAGUGAAUAUCACUUGGUUUUCUUGUUCAGAGAAAAUAUGAGGAAGGGGCUGUCUUUCACCCACCUCAGUUCCUCAUUCUUCAUUUCCAUUGUGUUAUUCAAGUGAAAGUUUUCCUUUAAGACUUUGUCCCUACCUCCUGGCAACGGGGCUGAGGUGUCGUAUCUAAGGAACCAUGCUCCCUCAUAGGGAGAGUGAUUCUGUGUCAGCUGAUGAAGGCAGUGACUUUGAAGACAGCUUGAGACGCAACGUGAAGAAGAGAGUGGCCAAACGACCACUCAAAACAACCCCAGUGGCAAAACAUCCAAAGAAGGGGUCCCAAAUGGUACGUGGUCAUGGCCAGAAAGAGUCAGAGCCACCAGCCAGUGAUCUCUUUGAUGCUGUGAAGGCUGCCAAAAGUGACAUGCAGUCUUUGGUGGAUGAGUGGCUGGAUAGCUACAAGCAAGACCAGGAUGCAGGAUUCCUGGAGCUCGUUAACUUUUUCAUCCAAUCUUGUGGAUGUAAAGGCACUGUGACCCAAGAGAUGUUCAGGAAGAUGUCCAACUCAGAGAUCAUCCGGCACCUAACAGAACAGUUCAAUGAGGACUCAGGAGACUAUCCCCUGACAGCUCCAGGUCCAUCCUGGAAGAAGUUCCAGGGUAGCUUCUGUGAAUUUGUGAGGACAUUGGUCUUUCGAUGCCAGUACGGCCUCCUCUAUGAUGGCUUCCCUAUGGACAACCUCAUCUCCCUGCUCACUGGCCUCUCAGACUCCCAAGUCCGUGCCUUCCGUCACACUAGCACCCUGGCUGCUAUGACACUAAUGACCUCCCUGGUGAGAGUUGCCCUCCAGCUGAGUGUGCACAAAGACUACAAUCACCGUCAGUAUGAGGCUGAACGAAGCAAGGGGCCGGGACAGAGAGCACCUGAGCGGCUAGAGAGCCUGUUGGAGAAACGCAAAGAGCUCCAAGAGCAUCAAGAGGAGAUUGAGGGGAUGAUGAAUGCCCUCUUCAGGGGUGUCUUUGUACAUCGGUACAGGGAUGUCCUUCCUGAGAUCCGUGCUAUCUGCAUCGAGGAGAUUGGGUGUUGGAUGCAAAGCUACAGUACCUCUUUCCUCACUGACAGCUAUUUAAAAUAUAUUGGCUGGACCCUGCAUGAUAAGCAUCGAGAAGUCCGUCUGAAGUGCCUGAAGGCUCUGAAAGGGCUGUACAGCAACCAGGACUUGACUGCACGCCUGGAGCUCUUUACCAGCCGCUUCAAGGACCGGAUGGUUUCCAUGGUCAUGGACCGAGAGUACGAUGUGGCAGUGGAGGCCGUCAAGUUACUAACAGUUAUCCUUAAGAACAUGGAAGGGGUGCUGACAGAUGCAGACUGUGAGAGCGUCUACCCUGUUGUGUAUGCCUCUAACCGAGCCCUGGCCUCUGCUGCAGGGGAAUUUCUAUACUGGAAGCUGUUCUACCCUGAGUGUGAGACAAGAACAGUGGAUGGGAAAGAGCAACGCCAAAGCCCCCGCUCCCAGAGGACUUUCUUCCAUCUUCUGCUGUCCUUCUUUGUGGAGAGUGAGCUCCAUGAUCAUGCAGCUUAUUUGGUAGACAGCCUAUGGGACUGUGCAGGGUCUCAGCUGAAGAACUGGGAGAGUCUGACAAGCUUGCUUCUGGAGAAGGACCAGAACCUGGGCGACGUGCAGGAGAGCACACUUAUAGAAAUCCUCGUGUCCAGUGUACAGCAAGCUUCAGAGGGUCACCCACCUGUGGGGCGGGUCACUGGAAGGAAGGGCUUAACCCCUAAAGAACGUAAGAUCCAAGCCAAUGACAAAGUGAAGCUGACUGAGCACCUCAUCCCCCUGCUGCCCCAGCUCCUGGCCAAGUUCUCAGCUGAUGCAGAGAAGGUUGCCCCCCUGCUCCAGCUUCUCAACUACUUUGACCUCAACAUCUACUGCACCAGGCGCUUGGAGAAGCACCUGGAGCUGUUCUUGCAGCAACUCCAGGAGGUGGUGGUGAAGCAUGCGGAGCCAGCGGUGCUUGAGGCUGGCGCUCACGCCCUCUAUCUGCUCUGUAAUCCUGAGUUCACCUUCUUUAGCCGGGUGGACUUUGCCCGCAGCCAACUGGUGGAUCUGCUGACCGACCGCUUCCAACAGGAACUUGAAGAGCUGCUGCAGUCGUCCUUCCUAGAUGAGGAUGAGGUGUAUAGUCUGGCAGCCACUCUGAAGCGCCUCUCUGCCUUCUACAAUGCUCAUGACCUAACUCGCUGGGAGCUCUACGAGCCAUGCUACCGACUCCUCCGGAAGGCUGUGGACACAGGAGAGGUUCCUCACCAGGUGAUGCUGCCAGCCUUGACUCUUGUCUAUUUUUCCAUUCUCUGGACACUAACCCACAUUUCUGGAUCAGGUGCUUCCCAGCCACUGUCUCCACAGAAGCAGCUGAUGAGCUUGAAGGGCAGGAUGGUGGCCUUCUGCGAACUCUGCCAGAGCUGCCUCUCAGAUGUGGCUCCUGAGAUCCAGGAGCAGGCUUUUGUCUUAUUAAGUGAUCUGCUUCUCAUCUUCAGCCCUCAGAUGAUUGUAGGGGGAUGUGAUUUCCUUAGGCCCCUUGUCUUUUUUCCUGAAGCCACUCUCCAGUCUGAGCUAGCCAGCUUCCUCAUGGACCACGUCUUCAUCCAGCCUGGAGAACUGGGCGGUGGUCAUUCCCAGGAGGAUCAUUUAAAGAUAGAGCAGCUGCACCAGCGUCGCCGCCUUCUGGCCGGGUUCUGUAAGCUGUUGAUAUAUGGGGUGCUGGAGUUGGACGCAGCCUCAGAUGUUUUCAAACACUACAACAAGUUCUACGAUGACUAUGGUGACAUUAUCAAGGAAACAUUAACUAGAGCAAGGCAGAUUGACCGAAGUCAUUGUUCCCGCAUCCUGCUGCUGAGCCUCAAGCAGUUAUACACAGAACUGCUACAGGAACAGGGGCCCGAGGGCUUGAAUGAGCUUCCAGCCUUCAUCGAGAUGAGGGACCUGGCCCGGAGGUUUGCCUUGAGCUUUGGACCCCAGCAGCUACAGAACCGUGACCUUGUGGUCAUGCUACACAAGGAAGGCAUCAAGUUCUCCUUGUCAGAGCUUCCUGCAGCUGGCUCCUCUGGUCAGCCCCCAAAUCUAGCAUUCCUGGAGCUCCUUUCAGAGUUUUCUCCCCGACUCUUCCAUCAGGACAAGCAGCUACUACUGUCCUACCUGGAAAAGUGUCUGCAAGAUGUCUCCCAAGCACCUGGCCAUCCCUGGGGUCCAGUCACCACCUACUGCCACUCCCUCAGCCCUAUGGAGAAUACAGCAGAGGCCAGCCUUCAGGGCUACCCCCGCUCCAAGAAGAGGCGCAUUGAAGGCCCCUCCAGGAGGCACAGAGAGGAUAUCUCUUCAUCCCAAGAGGAAAGCCUGCAGCUGACCAGCAUGCCACCUACACCCACCCUCACCUCCACAGCUGUGAAGACUAGGCAGCCCCUGGGGGGGCUGGAAGAGAUGGAAGAAGAAGGCGGCUCAGAAUCAGAGUUUACCCAAGGCCAACCCCUUUCAGGCACCCAGAGGUCAGAGUUCUCAAGCCCACAUCAUUUCCGGAUUCCACUCAACCCUCCAGGUCCUGAUCUGGGCAACCAGCUGACCCGACUCAGCCUUAUGGAAGAGGAUGAAGAAGAGUUGGAAAUUCAGCAUGAGUCAAGUGAAGAAUGGCAAUAUACAAACAAGCACUCUUCCCCCAGUGAGCACGGGCUGGACCUCUUAGAUUCUACAGAGCUGAACAUUGAGGAUUUCUGACAUGACUCGGCCCCUCCUCAUCUCCACGCUCCACCUCAGUGACAUAACCACUUGGAAAAGGCAAACAGGAGAACAGAGCAAAAGGAACCAUUACUUCCAGGCCUCCCCCUGGUCUCUGAGGGGAAGGAGAGGUGGGCUUUGCCUUUCUAACCUCACCUUUCUCUGAGGAUGUUGGGAUGGAGAAGCCUUAGGCCCCCUGCCUUCUCAAUGCACCAUGGCUCUGUCCCUCUGUGUUUGAGCAGACUGCCUGUUUCCUGCUGGGUUUGGAGGGGUGAGGGCUUCUCCUCAGUAUUGGAGGGGGGCACUGCCUCGUGUGUUGAAUGGAAAUAGCCAAGUAGUUUUCCUGUAUUUUUGAAACAUCUUUCCCAGCCUCUUCUGUGCCCUAGUGAUUAGCUCAAUAAACAUGUUUGAAUCAGCCGAU
Molecule: non-coding RNA, 4878 nt
Organism: Equus caballus (horse)
Lineage: Eukaryota; Metazoa; Chordata; Mammalia; Perissodactyla; Equidae
Source: RefSeq, a predicted model, not a curated record